Parelaphostrongylus tenuis is the source of this 74-nucleotide non-coding RNA. The record is from the annotation of a GenBank genome assembly. Lineage: Eukaryota; Metazoa; Nematoda; Chromadorea; Rhabditida; Metastrongylidae.
GUGUCGGUAGUGCAACGGUUCAGCACGCGCUCCUGAAAAGAGUGAAUGACUGGGUUCGAAUCCUAGCUGACGCA